AUCGCUUCUCGACCUUUUGGCUAAGAUCAAGUGUAGUAUCUGUCCUUAUCAGUUUAAAAUGCAUGGAUGUAUACAGUUUGAUGAGUUCUGACAAAUGUAUAUACCCCAUGUAACCAAUACCUAAGUUAAGAUGUUGGACACUUC
This 144-nucleotide small nuclear RNA is filed under the name Suricata suricatta (meerkat). RNAcentral's name for it is "U2 spliceosomal RNA (ENSSSUG00005007156.1)". The stretch from base 1 to 109 matches the Rfam family "U2 spliceosomal RNA". From Rfam's summary of the family: U2 is a small nuclear RNA (snRNA) component of the spliceosome (involved in pre-mRNA splicing). Lineage: Eukaryota; Metazoa; Chordata; Mammalia; Carnivora; Herpestidae. The record is from RNAcentral.